Molecule: long non-coding RNA, 264 nt
Organism: Thalassophryne amazonica
Lineage: Eukaryota; Metazoa; Chordata; Actinopteri; Batrachoidiformes; Batrachoididae
Exons: 2
Source: RefSeq, a predicted model, not a curated record
AUUAUUAUUGUUCAUGAAUAAAUGUAAAUAAGCAAAAUGUGUGAUAAAUUCUUUAAGAUCAUUUUAACACAAAUUUGUUGUAAUUCUAACAAUGUAAUUUAUCUGCAUACUUCCAAGUAGUACUAACAAUACUAUAACUACUACUACUAAUAAUAUAAUAUAAUAUAACACUUUUAAAGCAAACAUACAGAGUGCUUCAAAAACUCACAAGCAACAACAUAAAAUAUAAUACAACAAAACAAAUCAUGAAAGACAUAAAACUCA